Long non-coding RNA from Orcinus orca (killer whale), 323 nucleotides. RefSeq lists it as uncharacterized. NCBI's taxonomy places the organism in Eukaryota, Metazoa, Chordata, Mammalia, Artiodactyla, Delphinidae. The transcript is spliced from 3 exons. The record is from RefSeq and is a predicted model, not a curated record.
GUGUGAGCUACUUUUCUAAAAGCUAUAGGAGAGCCUAUAGCUCCCCACAUGACCAUGUAAGAAGGGUGGGUCAUUCAUCCCCAUUUCCAGAAGGCACAAGGGGGUCCCAGAGAGCAGAAUUUCUUCUCUGCAGCUGACCAUCAUCUAGAAAACAGAGAAACAGUGAUACCGACCAGGGGUCUUGGCCUUCCCCAAUCAAUAGAAAUUGCCUAGAGGCCAGACAAGAAAUUCAGGCAAGGCCUUCCUGGGGCCCCUGCUGCAGCAGCCGGAACGAGAACAAACAGCAGUUACAGAUGCUGAAGCAUAAGGGGGUUAAAAACCUG